UAAAAACCCCGACUUCGGAAGGGGUGUAUUUAUUAGAUACAAAACCAAUGCCCUUCGGGGCUCUUUGGUGAUUCAUGAUAACUAUGCGAAUCGCACGGCCUUGCGCCGGCGAUGGUUCAUUCAAAUUUCUUCCCUAUCAACUUUCGAUGUUUGGGUAUUGGCCAAACAUGGUUGCAACGGGUAACGGAGGGUUAGGGCUCGACCCCGGAGAAGGAGCCUGAGAAACGGCUACUACAUCCAAGGAAGGCAGCAGGCGCGCAAAUUACCCAAUCCCGACUCGGGGAGGUAGUGACAAUAAAUACUGAUACAGGGCCCUUUCGGGCCUUGUAAUUGGAAUGAGUACAAUUUAAAUCCCUUAACGAGGAACAAUUGGAGGGCAAGUCUGGUGCCAGCAGCCGCGGUAAUUCCAGCUCCAAUAGCGUAUAUUAAAGUUGUUGUGGUUAAAAAGCUCGUAGUUGAACCUUGGGCCUGGCUGGCCGGUCCGCCUCACCGCGUGCACUGGUCCGGCCGGGCCUUUCCCUCUGUGGAACCCCAUACCCUUCACUGGGCGUGGCGGGGAAACAGGACAUUUACUUU
Molecule: ribosomal RNA, 576 nt
Filed under: uncultured eukaryote
Lineage: Eukaryota
Description: SSU rRNA
Rfam family: Eukaryotic small subunit ribosomal RNA
Source: RNAcentral